This 436-nucleotide long non-coding RNA is filed under the name Bos taurus (domestic cattle). Its description in RNAcentral is "long non-coding RNA NONBTAT025629". The record is from RNAcentral. Lineage: Eukaryota; Metazoa; Chordata; Mammalia; Artiodactyla; Bovidae.
UUGGACUAAAGAACUCAGACUAAAAAUUAGGGUUUGAAAAUAGUUUUAAGACAUUGUUUGCAAUAGGAUAUUUUCGGACCUGAAUUAUGGGCUUAUUUCAACAUGCUCUUCCAAACCAUAUUAUCAUGUGUCUGUUGGUGCUUUUGCCCUCAGCACAGAGAAGAUAGUUUACCACAUUUGAGUUGCUUAUUAAAAACAGUAGGAAUCGGAGGCAGUGCAGGGUCAGAGAGUGAAAGGCUGUAAUGGACCCUGUGAAGGGUGAGCUACUUCAUGAGGGCAGGUUUUUAAUGUAAGUACUGUUACCCUUGUGCACAUAAAUGCAGCGUGAAGAAUGUCUAAAUUACAGUGGACAGAAGUGGCAUGCUGAGACAGGAAUAUUUUCCUGUUAUUUCAGGUACGUAAUGUAUCUGAGUUAGAUAUGUCUCUGUAUAUCUCA